GGCGAGGUAGCUCAGUUGGUUAGAGCAUGCGGCUCAUACCCGCAGUGUCGGCGGUUCAAGUCCGCCCCUCGCUACUA
Molecule: transfer RNA, 77 nt
Filed under: Candidatus Omnitrophota bacterium
Lineage: Bacteria; Pseudomonadati; Candidatus Omnitrophota
Description: Candidatus Omnitrophica bacterium tRNA-Met
Rfam family: tRNA
About the family: Transfer RNA (tRNA) molecules are approximately 80 nucleotides in length. Their secondary structure includes four short double-helical elements and three loops (D, anti-codon, and T loops).
Source: RNAcentral